This 206-nucleotide ribosomal RNA is filed under the name uncultured Prevotella sp. RNAcentral describes it as "partial 16S ribosomal RNA". It matches the Rfam family "Bacterial small subunit ribosomal RNA", at positions 150 to 354 of the family's 1533-position model. The record is from RNAcentral. Lineage: Bacteria; Pseudomonadati; Bacteroidota; Bacteroidia; Bacteroidales; Prevotellaceae.
GUUGAAAGACGGACUAAUACCCAAUAUAAUCCUUUGAUGGCAUCUGACGAGGAUGAAAGAUUUAUCGGUAUUGGAUGGGGAUGCGUCUGAUUAGCUUGUUGGUGAGGUAACGGCUCACCAAGGCUUCGAUCAGUAGGGGUUCUGAGAGGAAGGUCCCCCACAUUGGAACUGAGACACGGUCCAAACUCCUACGGGAGGCAGCAGGC